UACAAUACACUCUUUUGUUCUCCCUUUAUCCUUUUCUCUCUACUCUUCUAUGUUAUACAUUAUCUUGCAAUGCUUUUCAUCAACUUCAAACAUGUUAUCAGCACGAAGCUCUAAACAAUCCGAGGUAAAAUUGAUUCCUAUUAUUUUGGUAUUGUUUGUUGUAUUAUUCUUUUAUCACUGUUUUAAUGUAAAUCCUUAUUUGUUUUGUUUCCUUGUCAUCCUUCC
This 225-nucleotide long non-coding RNA is filed under the name Medicago truncatula (barrel medic). RNAcentral's name for it is "long non-coding RNA (MTRU_LNC008538)". Lineage: Eukaryota; Viridiplantae; Streptophyta; Magnoliopsida; Fabales; Fabaceae. The record is from RNAcentral.